Syngnathus typhle (broad-nosed pipefish) is the source of this 6211-nucleotide RNA transcript. It is a transcript of the gene named ubiquitin specific peptidase 42, with no coding region annotated. NCBI's taxonomy places the organism in Eukaryota, Metazoa, Chordata, Actinopteri, Syngnathiformes, Syngnathidae. The transcript is spliced from 24 exons. The record is from RefSeq and is a predicted model, not a curated record.
UACAAACAAUCAUCGGUCAAAUUAAUACUCACUUUUGUAUAUUAUUAUUUAUAUUUGUUCGGAAAAUGAAUGCGAAAUACUCCAACCUGUAUGUUUUGAUGCCUUUGUGUAUGUUUUUUUUCUUUUUUAAUGUUUGAUCAAAUCAGGAAGUGGACACCGUACGUUGAACUUUUUAAAGUUGAAAUAUUUGAGCCCUCACUUCCAAGGGGCACUCGAACGUCUACGAAGAUAGUGUAAUAUAUGCGGUAACGUCAGUCGAAAUGUUUUUCGAAUCCAUCGGCGUCAUGUAUGAAUUGAUUUGUACGUGGAACGCGCACGGUGAUGAAUGUGCAUGUACACAAAGGUCGGUGGCACGAACGUGCGACGGAUCUGCACGAAACUCAGUCAAACGGUGGAGGGAGCCAAUCACAGACCUAGUUUGAUCCCAGGUGCCCGGAUGUUGCCGUGGAAAGCUCAUCUACGUCAUUGUUCACCGCCGGACACCAGCUUGGAAAUAAAGAAUGGCUUUACAAUCGCUACAAACGUGCUUUUAACAAUAUUCCAGCAAUGAACUAUGACCAUUGUUGACAGAUCCUCCGAAAAUUCUGACCACGAGUCAGUCGGUUGCAAGAGAUCCCCCUUCACCAGUGGAGACGGGAUGGACAGCAGCUGUUCCAGCAGCUGGGCAGUGGGUCCCACCCUACCCACUGACUCGCCGCGCCUGAAGGGUCCAGGGGGCUGCUUGGGCCCGACGCCUGGCGCCGUUGUCUACAAUAGCACGCCUCCCUCCGUGGACCGGCCCAAGGAGCAUGUGUUGUGCAGCGGCGAUGGCAUUGACAUGCCGCAGAAGGUCCUCUUCUCUCCCGAGCGUCUUAGCCUAAAGUGGAACCAGGUUCAUCGCAUAGGCGCCGGCCUGCAGAACAUGGGCAACACUUGUUUCCUCAACUCGGCCCUCCAGUGUCUCACCUACACGCCGCCAUUUGCCAACUACAUGCUGUCACGGGAACACUCGAAAACAUGUCACGAGCCAGGCUUCUGUAUGAUGUGCACCAUGCAAAACCACAUCAUUCAAGUUUUUGCCAACUCUGGGAACGUUAUUAAGCCAAUGGGUGUGCUGAACGAGCUCAAAAGAAUCGCGAAGCACUUCCGCUAUGGAAGCCAGGAGGAUGCCCAUGAAUUUAUUAGGUACACGGUGGAUGCUAUGCAAAAGUCCUGCUUGCCUGGAACCAAAUUGGACAGGCAAACGCAGGCGACCACUUUUAUUCAUCAGGUAUUUGGUGGUUACCUAAGGUCCAGAGUUAAAUGUUUAAACUGCAAAGCAGUCUCUGAUACAUUUGACCCUUUUCUGGACAUCACUCUAGAAAUCAAAAUGGCACCCAGCGUUUCGAAGGCUCUAGAGCAGUUUGUCAAGCCAGAGCAGCUGGAUGGCGAGAAUGCCUACAAGUGCUCCAAGUGCAAAAAAAUGGUCACAGCCUCAAAGAGAUUCACGAUCCAUCGCAGCUCCAACGUCCUCACCCUGUCGCUGAAACGCUUCGCCAACUUCAGCGGAGGAAAAAUCACAAAAGAUGUGAAAUAUCCCGAGUACCUGGACCUGCGGCCCUUCAUGUCGCAGUCGCAAGGAGAGCCACAACUCUACGGGCUGUUUGCUGUUCUGGUCCACUCUGGAUUCAGCUGCCACGCUGGACACUACUUCUGCUAUAUUAAGGCAAGCAAUGGUCAGUGGUUUCAGAUGAACGAUUCGUCCGUGACUGUAAGCGACAUUAGGUCUGUUCUUAACCAGCAGGCUUAUGUCCUCUUCUACAUCAAGUCCAGUGACGGAAAGAAAGAAGGGGACUAUGGUCACAUGACCCAUAACUCAACUGCACCCGGCCAGUCAUCACCUCGACCCGUUGUGAUUCCCCGCAUCAACACCACCGCCCAUCACAACAAUGGCGGCUUCAUCGGACCAACGCUGCCCCCGCACAUGAACAAGAAUUCUCUCCACAUGAAUGGGAACGGGUCUUUGAGGGAGGGUCCCAAGCCCAGCACCAGCAGCAGCAUUGCUGGAAAACCCAACCACGGCGCGGCCUCCUCUUCUUCCACGUCGCACUUGGCCAGCCAGCCUUCAGUGAUCCCAGAGCACGAGAAGCGCCUGAAGCUGUCCUUCUGCAUCGGCCAAGGCAAACCGAAUCGUCCGGCGGCGUCCUCCUCCUCGUCAUCGGCCAGCAGCUCCACCGCCACCUCGUCCUCGAGCUCUUUACCCUCCUCCUCCCAGUCUACCUCAGAGGCUCGCUUCGUCCCACGUCAGGUGAACCACGUCAACGGCACGCCGAGCAGUAACGGGGAGCACCAGGCCGGCUCGUCCUUCUUGGUGCCGUACGGCCAAGAGUUAUCGGAAGAGUCGGACCAAGAGAUCGGCGGGUCCCUGGAUAAUGGCUGCUCAGUGGAGAGUCACAUGAAUGGUAGCAAAAGAACAAGGGAGGACUUUGCCAAUGGCGACUCUGGGCCGCACCACAAUGGAAACGGUGUAAAUGGAAUUUCACACAGCUUAUCUAAAAACAUACAAAACGGACACCAUCAUGGACUUCAAAAAGUCAAUGGUCAUAAUAGUGUUGAAAAGCUCUCGGACAGUAGUGAGGGAAGUUUGUCAUCAGAGGGGAGUUUGACUGUGAAUGGAGUAGACACUGACCCCUGUCAACCAAGCAAAGAGUCGUUGUCAUCCCAGGCUAGUUCUGUUCAGAGGGUCCAACCCGCCGUCAGCGAAAGCCAGAAACUCUCCCCCGACGUAAGGGCGACACGAGUGGCCGAUCCCCCGCCUGAGAAAACGGCCUGCGAAACCCCAUCCGCUUCCACCAGCAAAAUUCAGUCCUCGGCAUCUAGCGAGUCCGCGUCCAUCAGUCCCCCAGCCACCUCGCCCGACUCUUCCCACAGCACCAGCGGCGCGUGCGCGGCUCUACCGAAGAGUCCCGAUGAAGUCACGAAUGCCCCACUGACCAACGGCUCAUCGGCAGCGGCCUCCAAAGGCCGUGCAGAGGUGAGAGAUCAUCUCCGGCCCAGUCCGCCUUCCAGAAGUUACGGAAGACAGUCAUCGCGGGAAAGGGGUCGGGACCGGUCGUACUCGUCUGACUGGAGCAGGGAGAGAGAGCGAAACUACAACAGGAGUCAGGAAAGGGACGCGACUCACUACAGACGGGACAACAGAGACCACCAUUACAACCCCCACCGCUCAUACAGGGACUAUUACUACCGGGACUGGGAGAGUGAACGUCGCUGGGACCGGACUCCCUACCACCCCAGGGAGCGGGACCGCGACCGCUGCUCACACCACUACCACUUUUAUCACCACCACCACCGAUCCAGGGAAGACCGCGAUUACCAGCGCAGGAGUUACGGCAACUCCUACCGCCACAAGUCUCACGGCCAAUGGAGGCGGGAUCAGGACAGCUGGGAAGUUCGCGGGAUGAGAGACGAUGGCAGGGAAAGAGACCACCACCACCACCUCUAUCGGGGGAUGUCGCCCAACAGGUCGCCGUAUCGGCAUCCUCAUCCGGGGUCGGAGGACCAGAAUCCUCGGCGGAGCGGCCGCUCUGUGAGCUCUGAGGAGCGGCAUAGCAAAAAACACAAAAAGAGCAAGAAGAAGAAAUCAAAGGAUACAGAGCGAAACCGUGAGAGUGGGAGCUCCGACUCAGACCGAGGCUAUGAAGAAAAAAAAAAGAAAAAGAGGCGGCACCAGAGCGAGCAACGCAGCCCGGACGGCGGCCACAAGAGCCGCAGCAGCGAAGAACGCCAGUGCCGAAAACGCCGUCACUCCAAGGAUGCCAAGCAAGACGAGGACAGCUGCUCACCGGGCAAACGCCGCCGGCUCGACUAUGACCACAAUGGCACUUCCCCCGCCGGACCUGCACACGGGCCAUUUCACAGUCACCUUAACGGAUACGCAGGAAACGGUUACAGCCAAACCAACGUUGUAUACCACUGAUGGUCCGGUGUGCCGAGAAGUACCAUGAAGCACUGAAAACCCCCUUGCCUAGACAUACAGCGGAGGAAUGAUUCAUUGAACUGUUGCUUCAUUGGGAGGGGGGGUUGUAUUUUUACCACAAGUCAAGUGUUUUUUAUAUAUAUAUAUAUAUAUAUAUAUAUAUAUAUAUAUAUAUAUAUAUAUAUAUAUAUAUAUAUAUAUAUAUAUAUAUAUAUAUAUAUAUAUAUAUAUAUAUAUAUAUAUAUAUAUAUAUAUAUAUAUAUAUAUAUAUAUAUUCACUUUUAAAGCAUUGAUUUUUUUUAGUUGCAGUAACGCUCCUACUCUCGUCGGACGCGAACGAUGACAAAUAUUAAUAUAUUCGUGUAUGGGACACACAAAAGCCUGGAGCUUAAAACAUCUCGACUGCUGCUCAGUGGAACUCAGGACUCAAACUCAUCAUCCACUCGCUUCACGUGAAAGGGAAACACAAGCGCUGCUGAAAACAAGUUUGGAAGGAGGCAGUGUAAUAUGGACGUCACACAAGGCGGACUUCUCGCGUGAUCACGCUUGACAUCACAAGCGCGAAGAGAAGCGGGCAGUCAACUGAGAAUGGCAGUUAACAGCUUCAAGCAAUUUUCUUAUCUUCAAAGAAUUGUUCUUGGAACGACCAAACCGCUGCUUGUUGUAAAGUGAGGUGAAAGCUUACAAUGAUGGUAACGUCUACAGCCAUGAUGUGCCAACACCGUUCGUCUAGGUCCAGGAGCAAAAUUUACAUUGACAAGGAAUUGCGCAAUGUCUUCUGGAGUGUGCUGAAGGAGGUCGUUCUCAAGUAAGAACUGGAUUCCCUGGAGGAGAGGAGGUGAACUCCCAUGAACCGUUUCAAGAGCAUCUGAACAAGAUGGAAAGGCAUCACCAAAUUCUAAAGAAUAAGCAGUCACAAGUCAUUGGAAGCAUGUGACCGUGUAAUUGCUCCAACCUCAGAAGCCACCAACUCCUUUCUUUAUAUGAGACACUUACUACGCUGAACUUUUCGGGCUGGGCUUCAAGAGCUUUGCUGGAACUAUUUCGGAAUAUCUACCUCUGUCAUUUUUGGAAUCGGCAACAUUUCUGCUCAACAGGUACGUUUUUGUUUUUCCAAUAAAGGUCACAUCCGUUUCUAUCGUGGGCUUGUUUACACUUCUAAUGCUAGUUUAGUUUUGCUAGCGCUGCAGAAGCGCUUGCAGCAUCUUUCCAAAUGGGUGAGUUUUGCUUUCAAAGUCUUGCCACGGCCAGAAAUUUGCCACCAUAUCCAGCAUCAGCAUGUGACUCACCUCACAGCUCCGUUACAUCUGAUCCAAUCGGAUCACAGAGAUGACUCAAGGCCUAUUGUUACCAUGCUGCGUUUUCUGAUCAGAUCAGAUAAACAUAGCUUUGUGACUCCAUGGGAACUCACCCCCCCCCAACCCUUUGAUGACUAACAAUCUGCAUGUGCAAAUAAAAAAAAAAUUCGAGUUGUUCAACCCUAGCUCCAGAGUAGUACUGUAUUCCACAUUUGCAUCGGUUAUUCAGGAAAACUACUCCUCCAAAGCAACAGCCUCAGCUGGGUUCAACCAUCUGUUUUAUGAGCUCAUGGAAUCGGGGGAAAUGCUUUGCAGGCAUGUACUGCAUCCCCGAUUGCGCUUUUGAAAUGUUGACUCCCCCCGCCCCCAAAUCAGGUGACUGCAGACUUCCUGCGCACCCCAAUAUACAAUUUGUGAACUUCUUGCAUCAUUUUACCAUCCUGGGAUUUGUUUUGUUUUGCAAGCCCCCUAAUGGGUUGGUGACAGAGCUCUUUCGCCUCCUUUUUAAUCACUCACUUUUGCUUCCAUUACUGGAACUUGAUUAUUUUUAGCGAUUUUACUACUCAGGCGGUGUCUACAUUGGUGUAAUCUAUACUCUUGUUAUUGGUUUAAAAUAAUAAAUCUGGCCUACAGUAUCCAAUACAGUAUUUUUGCAAAAUGAAUCCGAUCCUGCAGUCCCAGUUCUAAGCAGUAGGUGGCAGCAUUUGCCUGUCAUGGUUUGACCGGAUGUGCCUUGCAGGGAUUCUCCGGCUUCAUCUCCCCACAAAGUGCGGCUGGUUUUCCUUUUAAUCUCGACUCCAGUGUGUGUGUUUUUUUUUCUUCCUUGGGUGUUGCCUUCACUUUUCCAACUUUGGCUUGUCUGUCCAUCUCGUCUUGCCGUGUAAGCUUUGGGAGUGGGCCAAAUUACAAACAUCUCUUUCAUUAUCCAACUGUUUUCUAUUCAAGCGCUGUCACGUUCACGUUACCGUUUUUUAAA